AUAGAUACUAGCUAUCUAGGUGGAGUUGAAAGAGUUAAGAAUGUCAAUUAAAAUCACUCUCAGUGCUUCUUACUAUCAAGCAGUAAAAACUGUUCUCUAUUAGACUUUAGAAAUAAAUGUUCCUGAUGUACCUGCUUCUAUGGUCAGGUUAUACUCUUCUUCCCCCAGCUAUCUAUAUGGAAUUGCUUACCAAAGGAUAGUGCGAUGUUUCAGGAGGCUGGAGGAAGGGGGGGGGUGUUGCAGUGGAGAGGGACAGCCCACUGGGAAGUCAAACAUUUCAAAGUUUGGGAUUGUAUCAAGUGGCAUGUGCUGUGACCAUUUAUAAUGUUAGUAGAAAUUUAACAAUAGAUGCUUAUUCUCAAAGCAGGAAUUGGUGGCAGAUUUUACAAAAGAUGUAUCCUUCCAAUUUGGAAUCUUCUCUUUGACAAUUCCUAGAUUAAAAGAUGGCCUUUGCUUAUGAAUAUUUAUAACAGCAUUCUUGUCACAAUAAAUGUAUUCAAAUACCAAUAACAGAUCUUGAAUUGCUUCCCUUUACUACUUUUUUCUUCCCAAGUAAUAUACUGAAGCUUUUAUUUUUAGUUGCUGAGGUUAACAUUGCUGCAAUCUGAAGUGACUUGAAAAUUAAGAAGCAAAGAAUUUAGGAAGAGUCAAACUGGAAGUUGUGAUCUGAAUGAAACAGUCUCCCAAUUUUAUUAAUUCCCUCCUCUCUACUACCACCCUUUACCCCCAAAUAAAUACCUAUGUCUAAGGAAACUAGCAGUUUAGCAUUUUGGAUCUGUCUAUAGUUUAUUUCUUAAUUUGUUUCUCAAAUAAUCAACCUUGUUUAAGUAAUUAUAGAAUCAGUCUCAAAAGAUAGUAAUCUAAUACUAUGGAAAAGAUUCGCAAGAGAAAACAUGAACACCAACUCAAUGAUUACAUGCAUAAAUCAAACCUCAGCUCUAGGGAAAUGGGAAACUUAAAUUCUGACUACAGAUGUAACUUAGGAGAUCAACAAGGCAGUGCUCAACAAGGGAACAAUUUUUUGCUUGGUUGCUUUUCAUCCCAAGAGCCAGUGUGAUUAUCAGGCAGCAAAAGCAAUUUGAUAUCCAGGAAUAUUUCACAAACCACUAAUUGAGGCAGGGCUGUUUGCUCAUUAGCAAUGUUCUAGUACCCAAUAGGUCUGGGAGUGCUAAUAUCCUGCCUGUGGCUGUAAAUCCAAAUACACAGAGUUUCUCCUUAGGAGUAUCUCUAGGAGUGGAAGAGAUUGGACAGGCUUGUUAGCUUCGGGUAUACUCUCCCUUGUAAUAACACUUCUUGAACAAAGGGUUACUGGGAGCAGAGCCCGGUUUGCCAAACUGAAUUUGCCGAUGUCAGCAACCCGGAAGGUGAGAUGAUUUUGACCAUAUGUAGAAAUAGCAGAGGGACAAUAAAGCACUUUGGGGUGGGGCUCUGUGGAAGCUAAACAAGAGCCAACUAGAAAAAAUAAGCAGGCUGGGGAAUUAAUUACCUGCAAAGGUAGACUAAGCCCAGACAACAGUACAGCACAGAAAAGC
This 1532-nucleotide long non-coding RNA is filed under the name Macaca fascicularis (crab-eating macaque). Its description in RNAcentral is "lncRNA (ENSMFAG00000047387.1)". Lineage: Eukaryota; Metazoa; Chordata; Mammalia; Primates; Cercopithecidae. The record is from RNAcentral.